This 135-nucleotide unclassified non-coding RNA is filed under the name uncultured Microbotryomycetes. Its description in RNAcentral is "sequence contains ITS1". The record is from RNAcentral. Lineage: Eukaryota; Fungi; Basidiomycota; Microbotryomycetes.
AUGAAAUGCAAGGACGCUCUUUUUAGAGGUCCGAUCUUUCAUUUUCCCUACACUGUGAACUAAAAUUUUACACCAUUUUUAAACGCAUGAGUCUAAGAAUGUCACAAGUCUCUUAAUUGAGCAUAAAACUUGUAA